AAGAAGGAGGUGGAUCGAGAGCUCCAGUGCCCCCUGGCCCCAAGACCAGACCAGAGCACAGCCACCCAGUCAAAUGACGGGUGUCGGGGCAAACCAAGGGCCUGUGUUCCGAUUGGUUAAAGCCCAGAGGCCUCUGCCAACAAAGGGCGCGCUGGUUGGUAGAGGGGGACCAAUGAGAAGUCGCGGCACUGGCGUCAAGUGCACGCGCAGAAGCCACGCGCUGUCGGGGACAUCUGGUACUUCCACCCGGGGUGAGGGCAGCGGUGUCCCGAAGGCCUCACUGUUCCUGUCGCGUGGCCCGCUCCGCCGGGCUUGGCAGGACUCGGCUCUCCCGUUCUGCCGUUACCAGGACGACCGUCUCCCCGCAGCCCAGGCUGCCCAGACUGGCGCCAUGAGCUCCUCCGACAAGGUAGCCGUUUGUGGGGCCAGUUUCGGCCUGGAGGGUGGCAAGCAGGCUGGCUCCUGCAUGGCCAGCCCCGGAGCCCCACGGGGCCAGGGCCACGGCCUCGAUUUGGGGGCGCCAGGCAGCCGCGAGGGCGAGAGCAGGUUCACAGAUCCGGAGGGCUUCAGCUUCGAGUCUGAGAGCGAAUUGAUAGAGCCGGGAAAGGUGGUGCUCUGGGGCCGGGAAGGCCGGCCUGGCACCCCAGUCGACGACCAAGGGGACGAUGUGGACUACUCGUCCUCCCUGGCUGACGAACCAGCCACCAUCGUGCCACCGGCCCAGCGUCCAGAAGGUGCCCCUGCCGAAGGGUCGGCUGACAACUGGGCGGACCUGGAGGUCGGUCCCAGUGGGAGAGGCGUGCUGGGCCCCAGCCCUGGAGAAUGGCAGCAGGCCUCCGCCGGCCCCUGGGAGCCCAGGGUUGUCCUCGGUGCAUCCGGCUGCAGAGGGAAAUUGAGGACCUUACACAGCAGCUAGUGCCCGGUUCUGCCUCUCUGUUUCAGCGGCCAUGCAGUUCUUCAAUGACAAGUUCCAGGACCUUUGAAGUUGGAGCCAGCGUCCGGAGCUGCAGCCAAGCGAGUUUCCUCCUUAUCCUCCUUAGCCAGGGCUUUUUCUCUUCCGCUGCAUUUGCCCCCUUCCCAACGCAGUUCAAAGCAGUGUGAAAUAAAGUCGUUCUCAUAUUC
Pan troglodytes (chimpanzee) is the source of this 1122-nucleotide RNA transcript. RefSeq lists it as uncharacterized. The transcript has 4 exons. The record is from RefSeq and is a predicted model, not a curated record. Lineage: Eukaryota; Metazoa; Chordata; Mammalia; Primates; Hominidae.